Suricata suricatta (meerkat) is the source of this 1102-nucleotide long non-coding RNA. RefSeq lists it as uncharacterized. Lineage: Eukaryota; Metazoa; Chordata; Mammalia; Carnivora; Herpestidae. The record is from RefSeq and is a predicted model, not a curated record. The transcript is spliced from 2 exons.
GGGUCAAACAGCUCACCUGCAGCCAUUGGCACUUGAACCAAGUCAGUCUGGCGCAAACCCCAGACGCCUCAGCAGAUGUUCCGGUGAUGUUGUCACCUCCACCCCACCACCCCUGCCCUGAACCCCAACAUCCGCCGAUCACUUCCCCUCUGAGCUUUGGGCUCUCAGCUCCCCCUGGCAGAAGCAGUCAGAAGCUCUUCGGAAGGCUACCCACGCUGCCCAGGCACGGGGUCCCGGAUCAUCGAGGAGGAAGUGCAAAGAAAUUAGGUCCUAGCUGGAAUUGAUUUCCUAUCGACUGACUUCUGAUUUGCUAGUUUGAGGAAAAUAUUUCCUGCUUCUGCGGAUCAGCUAAGCCUGCAAAGCCAGGCCCAUGGCCAGUACUCAGUAAAUGUUUGCUGACUAACUCACUGGACUCUGGAGAGUUUCUGGUCCUGCUGUCAUUUAAUAGUUAAGAGAAACAGAGGCACAGAGUAGAAGAGGAAGUCACCGGCCUGCUGUUUGACUCUGGCCCAGACCUUCUGUUUCCCUCCCCUGAGCAGGGACGGGGUUGGGGGGGCAUAUGGAGGGAAGGAGAAGACGGGCUCAUGGUGGGCUGACCUUGGCUGCUCGUAUGUGCCAGGAGAGACAGGGGCGCUGGAUCAGGAGACACCGGGCAGGGGACGGUGGUGUGAUGCUUGCGGCCCUGUACACCAUGGACAUUCUAUUCUGCCCACGCCAGCUGGGUACUGACUCCGUACCCAGCCCUGUGUCGAUAUGUGUCAUUUCCUUGGAGCUUUGUAGCUCCCCUCUUUGGAGGGUUGCUAGUAUUGGGCCCAAGUUACAGAAGAGGAAACCGAGGCUCAGCGUGGUGAUGUGGCCCGCCCAAGGCCACACAACCAGGAAGUUAUAAAUCUGGGAUUCAAAGCCAGGUCUCUGCUUCCAAAACCCAGGGUCAUUCACCACCAGCCUACACCAUCCUCAGGACCAGACAACCAAAUGGAGCUGGGGAAAGACUAAGACCUAUAGCGGGCACGGGGCCGAUACAGAUGUGAGAGGCACAUUCCUCUCUCAGGGAGCAGGAGGUCUGUUUGGAACACGCAAAUAAAGACGCAAGUGAAUGUAA